Molecule: ribosomal RNA, 585 nt
Filed under: uncultured bacterium
Lineage: Bacteria
Description: partial 16S ribosomal RNA
Rfam family: Bacterial small subunit ribosomal RNA
Source: RNAcentral
UGGGGAAUUUUGGACAAUGGGCGAAAGCCUGAUCCAGCAAUGCCGCGUGUGUGAAGAAGGCCUUCGGGUUGUAAAGCACUUUUGUCCGGAAAGAAAUCCUUGGCUCUAAUACAGUCGGGGGAUGACGGUACCGGAAGAAUAAGCACCGGCUAACUACGUGCCAGCAGCCGCGGUAAUACGUAGGGUGCAAGCGUUAAUCGGAAUUACUGGGCGUAAAGCGUGCGCAGGCGGUUUGCUAAGACCGAUGUGAAAUCCCCGGGCUCAACCUGGGAACUGCAUUGGUGACUGGCAGGCUAGAGUAUGGCAGAGGGGGGUAGAAUUCCACGUGUAGCAGUGAAAUGCGUAGAGAUGUGGAGGAAUACCGAUGGCGAAGGCAGCCCCCUGGGCCAAUACUGACGCUCAUGCACGAAAGCGUGGGGAGCAAACAGGAUUAGAUACCCUGGUAGUCCGCGCCCUAAACGAUGUCAACUAGUUGUUGGGGAUUCAUUUCCUUAGUAACGUAGCUAACGCGUGAAGUUGACCGCCUGGGGAGUACGGUCGCAAGAUUAAAACUUAAAGGAAUUGACGGGGUCAUAGCUGUUUCCU